AGAACGAACGCUGGCGGCAUGCCUAACACAUGCAAGUCGAACGCUCUUGGUUUCGGCCAAGGGAGUGGCGCACGGGUGAGUAACGCGUGGGAACCUGCCCUGGAGUGGGGGAUAACCGAGGGAAACCUCGGCUAAUACCGCAUACGACCUGAGGGUGAAAGAUUUAUCGCUCUAGGAGGGGCCCGCGUCGGAUUAGCUAGUUGGUGAGGUAACGGCCCACCAAGGCUAUGAUCCGUAGCUGGUCUGAGAGGAUGAUCAGCCACACUGGGACUGAGACACGGCCCAGACUCCUACGGGAGACAGCAGUGGGGAAUAUUGGACAAUGGGCGCAAGCCUGAUCCAGCAAUGCCGCGUGAGUGAUGAAGGCCUUAGGGUUGUAAAGCUCUUUCACACGCGACGAUGAUGACGGUAGCGUGAGAAGAAGCCCCGGCUAACUUCGCGCCAGCAGCCGC
RNAcentral lists this ribosomal RNA (452 nucleotides) under uncultured bacterium. Its description in RNAcentral is "SSU rRNA". It matches the Rfam family "Bacterial small subunit ribosomal RNA", at positions 26 to 518 of the family's 1533-position model. The record is from RNAcentral.